Myotis daubentonii (Daubenton's bat) is the source of this 1250-nucleotide long non-coding RNA. RefSeq lists it as uncharacterized. Lineage: Eukaryota; Metazoa; Chordata; Mammalia; Chiroptera; Vespertilionidae. The transcript is spliced from 5 exons. The record is from RefSeq and is a predicted model, not a curated record.
GGAUGGAUCGCGCGCGGCUACUGGCGCCCGAGCCCGCCGAGGCUGCCGCCGCGACCCCGGCGCAGGAUGCCGCCCGCUCCGCAGUCGGAGGGGAAAAGGAACGCGCGGCCCGGAGCUCCGGCGAUAGAGGAGAGAACUGUCACCACCAGAGGAAAUGACUCAGACACAUUCAAUAGCCUCAUGGGAUAGAGCACACACAGUGAAUGGAGCUGUGAGGCCAACCGUGCUACUGCCUGAGCUGUUCACCAACCUUAUCCAACUGGAGAGCAACCACUUUCAGGUCACCUCGCCAGGGAGCCUCUGCUGACUUCUACAAGCAGCCUGCUUCCUGACCUUUAAAGGCCCAGAGACCUUUCAUUUGACAUGGUGAAUGUACAAACCAUGGACUAUCUAAAAAUAUUCCUCAGCCCGGAUGGUGUGGUUCAGUGGUUGAACACGGAGCUAUGAACUGGGAGGUCAUGGUUCUAUUCCUGAUGAUCAACUUAAGAUGAGGUCAUUAACAUGGAAAAUGUAGACACAGCAAUGCGCACACAGGGAAAAUGCCAUGCGAACGUGAAAGCAGAGAUCGGGGUGAUGCAUGGACAAGCGGAGGACCGCCGACGACUGCCAGCAAAGCACCAGAAGCCAGGAGAGAGGCUUGGAACAGGCUCCGGCACAGCCCUCAGAAGGAACCAACCCUGCUGACACCUCAAUUUUGUACUUUUAGCCUCCAGAACCAGAAGAGAAUAAAUUCCCGAUAUUUUAAGCCACCCAGUUUGUGGUAGCUUGUUACAACAGUGCCAAGAAACUAACAGCUCAUUCCACGUUACGUGUAUAAUCAUCUACUUUGCUACGGUUCCGUGCGUCCCUGGUGCACACCUAGCCUGCCCUGGAGCAGGCUGGGUGCUUGCAUGUGCGCAGCCCUGCAGCCCUAAGGGCAGUCUACGCCAGCAGUAGGAGGUGGAGCCAAGGUUAGCUUUGCCUUUUGUGCCUCCCUGGAUUGCGUCCCCACUGCUCUUCUGCGACCCUGGGCAGGAAAGAAUGUCUUCCAUACACUCCUUCAGAAGGAGGUGCUGCUGAGUAAAUAAAUUUCCCCUCCCAUGUGAAUUAAUCACACUUGACAGGUGAAAUCUCAAAUACCUGGGUGCCUCCUUGGAAAGAUUUUAGAUCAAGACCCCCCAGGUCCCCACAGCCCAUGUGCACGCCCUGCACGCUGUGCAUCGCGCUCUGCACCCAGAUGGCCAAGUUGCUGGAGCCCGGGGGGAUGCUUU